UGGGGAAUAUUGGACAAUGGGCGCAAGCCUGAUCCAGCAAUGCCGCGUGUGUGAAGAAGGCCUGAGGGUUGUAAAGCACUUUCAAAAGAGAAGAAGGGCGCAGAUUUAAUACCUUUGCGCAUUGACGUUACCUUUAGAAGAAGCACCGGCUAACUCUGUGCCAGCAGCCGCGGUAAUACAGAGGGUGCAAGCGUUAAUCGGAAUUACUGGGCGUAAAGCGCGCGUAGGCGGUUAGUUAAGUUGGAUGUGAAAGCCCCGGGCUUAACCUGGGAGGGUCAUUCAAAACUGACUAACUAGAGUGUGGUAGAGGGUAGUGGAACUCCUAGUGUAGCGGUGAAAUGCGUAGAGAUUAGGAAGAACACCAGUGGCGAAGGCGACUGCCUGGACCAACACUGACGCUGAGGUGCGAAAGCGUGGGUAGCGAACA
Molecule: ribosomal RNA, 427 nt
Filed under: uncultured Gammaproteobacteria bacterium
Lineage: Bacteria; Pseudomonadati; Pseudomonadota; Gammaproteobacteria
Description: bacterial SSU rRNA
Rfam family: Bacterial small subunit ribosomal RNA
Source: RNAcentral